Molecule: ribosomal RNA, 492 nt
Filed under: uncultured bacterium
Lineage: Bacteria
Description: partial 16S ribosomal RNA
Rfam family: Bacterial small subunit ribosomal RNA
Source: RNAcentral
AGUGAACGCUGGCGGUAUGCCUAACACAUGCAAGUCGAACGGCAGCACAGUAAGAGCUUGCUCUUACGGGUGGCGAGUGGCGGACGGGUGAGGAAUACAUCGGAAUCUACUUUUUCGUGGGGGAUAACGUAGGGAAACUUACGCUAAUACCGCAUACGACCUACGGGUGAAAGCAGGGGAUCUUCGGACCUUGCGCGAUUGACUGAGCCGAUGUCGGAUUAGCUAGUUGGCGGGGUAAAGGCCCACCAAGGCGACGAUCCGUAGCUGGUCUGAGAGGAUGAUCAGCCACACUGGAACUGAGACACGGUCCAGACUCCUACGGGAGGCAGCAGUGGGGAAUAUUGGACAAUGGGCGCAAGCCUGAUCCAGCCAUACCGCGUGGGUGAAGAAGGCCUUCGGGUUGUAAAGCCCUUUUGUUGGGAAAGAAAAGCAGCAGGUUAAUACCCCGCUGUUCUGACGGUACCCAAAGAAUAAGCACCGGCUAACUUCGUG